GAUGAACGCUGGCGGCGUGCCUAAUACAUGCAAGUCGAGCGAACAGACGAGGAGCUUGCUCCUCUGACGUUAGCGGCGGACGGGUGAGUCACACGAGGAUAACCUACCUAUAAGACUGGGAUAACUUCGGGAAACCGGAGCUAAUACCGGAUAAUAUAUUGAACCGCAUGGUUCAAUAGUGAAAGACGGUUUUGCUGUCACUUAUAGAUGGAUACGCGCCGCAUUAGCUAGUUGGUAAGGUAACGGCUUACCAAGGCAACGAUGCGUAGCCGACCUGAGAGAGUGAUCGGCGACACUGGAACUGAGACACGGUCCAGACUCCUACGGGAGGCAGCAGUAGGGAAUCUUCCGCAAUGGGCGAAAGCCUGACGGAGCAACGCCGCGUGAGUGAUGAAGGUCUUCGGAUCGUAAAACUCUGUUAUUAGUGAAGAACAAAUGUGUAAGUAACUAUGCACGUCUUGACGGUACCUAAUCAGAAAGCCACGGCUAACUACGUG
RNAcentral lists this ribosomal RNA (497 nucleotides) under uncultured bacterium. RNAcentral's name for it is "partial 16S ribosomal RNA". It matches the Rfam family "Bacterial small subunit ribosomal RNA", at positions 28 to 507 of the family's 1533-position model. The record is from RNAcentral.